ACCUCCACCGAUCGACACCAACAUUUACCCCAUCGAGAGCUCGAUUCGGAGUUUUAGCUGAUUUUUCUUGUUUUAAAUCAAGGGUUUUCUGUUUUAGAAUAUCUUUUCUUUUUCCCUCUUCAUAUUAUAUAAUUUUUUUUUAUUUUUAGCCAUUUUUCCCCGUUCAAUUCGAUGGGGAUGGUAAUUUUUUGAUGAAGUUGAAAAUUUCUGUGUGGUUGUUGUAUAUGAUGGGGAAUCUAGCCUGUGCAGAGUGCACAUGCUAGUUAUCCUGUUCCCCUAGUGGGCCCCGCCGCCAAGCUGCAGCCGUGGGAUGCUCCUACUGAUCCAUAAUGGGAAGGUGUAAGAGAAUGUUGUCAGUUGAGGACAUUGGAAGGGAAAACGCUCAACCCAUUUCCAGGUGACUGGACUACCACCUGAUGUAGUCGGUACUACUUGCAAUCAACAUCUUGAGAAAGUACUUGGAACAGAUCAUGCAAGCAUUCUGCGUGUUCCAUUCAGAAUGGAGAAGGGAAUUCUCCAGACUUAUAUGGAGGUUAAUCGUUAAUUAGAAAUCUUAGUUUUUGUCUGUUUAAUCUGAUCUUUUAUAGAUAUCAAGCUUCUACAUUUGAUAUGCAGGCCCCAAUCUGCAUUUGAAAAGAAUGUUGAGGUUAUAUUCAUGAAUGCUUCUAAUCAAACUUGCUGAAAUUACAAUACCAAUUGAAAGUA
Magnolia sinica is the source of this 705-nucleotide long non-coding RNA. RefSeq lists it as uncharacterized. The transcript has 2 exons. NCBI's taxonomy places the organism in Eukaryota, Viridiplantae, Streptophyta, Magnoliopsida, Magnoliales, Magnoliaceae. The record is from RefSeq and is a predicted model, not a curated record.